This is a long non-coding RNA of Balaenoptera acutorostrata (minke whale), 371 nucleotides long. RefSeq lists it as uncharacterized. NCBI's taxonomy places the organism in Eukaryota, Metazoa, Chordata, Mammalia, Artiodactyla, Balaenopteridae. The record is from RefSeq and is a predicted model, not a curated record. The transcript is spliced from 3 exons.
CAGUUUUCAGUUUCUUCAUAAUCAAAAUCAUGGGUUCCUGCAGAAAUUGCCACAAUUUUCACAACUGUCUCCACUGGAUGUGCACUGAGUACAACAACAGAACAAUAAAAGGGAGGACCCAGUUCUGCCUGAAGGGAUAGAGAGCCAUCCAGGAAGACUUCGCAGAGAAGCUGAUGCUUGAAGCAAGACAUUGAGGGAAAGAAGAAUGUUGAACAGGAAAAGGGAGGGAAGACCUUUCAAAAUCAGGAAACAGGGUCAUCUGAUGAUGAUAGUCUCAAAAGGAAUCAUCUGUGAACACCUAGGGAGACUCUUCGGCUUUCCCCUAUUUUUAAUGAAACCAUAAGGAGAUUGCAUUGCCUUAUUCCUGGUGA